UCGAACCUGCACAGCAGAACGACCCGCGAACUUGUAUAUCAAACUCGKGGGGGUGUGCCUUGGCUCGCUCCCUUGAAGUCGGUYAGUGUCGURCCUGUCUCCCCGUCACAAGGGYGAUGGUUUYGGCGCURGUCGGCAAUAACCCAAACACCGGCGCGGGUUGCGCCAAGGACUAUGAAUUCUAUCGCGUCCCUUGGCCCCGAGCAAUCGGGUGCUGAGGUGAAGCGUGACGUAUAUUAACAAAACGACUCUCGGCAACGGAUAUCUCGGCUCUCGCAUCGAUGAAGAACGUAGCGAAAUGCGAUACUUGGUGUGAAUUGCAGAAUCCCGUGAACCAUCGAGUCUUUGAACGCAAGUUGCGCCCGAAGCCAUUCGGCCGAGGGCACGUCUGCCUGGGCGUCACGCAUUGCGUCGCCCCCUCACCCUUCGCAGAACGGAGAGAGGGGCGGACAAUGGCCCCCCGUGCGCUWGUCCGCGCGGCCGGCCUAAACUAGGAGCCCGUGGCCGCGAAYGCCGCGACGUUUGGUGGUUGACUUAAGCAUCGCGUCGUGUGCACGAGCGRYAACGAUUGAGAGCUCGAAGGACCCUUAGGCGCCAGCCUACCCUUNNNACCCC
RNAcentral lists this ribosomal RNA (615 nucleotides) under Pterostegia drymarioides. Its description in RNAcentral is "eukaryotic LSU rRNA". The stretch from base 247 to 402 matches the Rfam family "5.8S ribosomal RNA". Lineage: Eukaryota; Viridiplantae; Streptophyta; Magnoliopsida; Caryophyllales; Polygonaceae. The record is from RNAcentral.